GACGAACGCUGGCGGCGUGCCUAAUACAUGCAAGUAGAACGCUGAAGAGAGGAGCUUGCUCUUCUUGGAUGAGUUGCGAACGGGUGAGUAACGCGUAGGUAACCUGCCUUGUAGCGGGGGAUAACUAUUGGAAACGAUAGCUAAUACCGCAUAACAAUGGAUGACACAUGUCAUUUAUUUGAAGGGGGCAAUUGCUCCACUACAAGAUGGACCUGCGUUGUAUUAGCUAGUAGGUGAGGUAAUGGCUCACCUAGGCGACGAUACAUAGCCGACCUGAGAGGGUGAUCGGCCACACUGGGACUGAGACACGGCCCAGACUCCUACGGGAGGCAGCAGUAGGGAAUCUUCGGCAAUGGGGGCAACCCUGACCGAGCAACGCCGCGUGAGUGAAGAAGGUUUUCGGAUCGUAAAGCUCUGUUGUAAGUCAAGAACGGGUGUGAGAGUGGAAAGUUCACACUGUGACGGUAGCUUACCAGAAAGGUACGGCUAACUACGUG
This 497-nucleotide ribosomal RNA is filed under the name uncultured bacterium. Its description in RNAcentral is "partial 16S ribosomal RNA". It matches the Rfam family "Bacterial small subunit ribosomal RNA", at positions 28 to 507 of the family's 1533-position model. The record is from RNAcentral.